GAUGAACGCUGGCGGCGUGCUUAACACAUGCAAGUCGAACGGGAUCCGGCCAGCUUGCUGGUUGGUGAGAGUGGCGAACGGGUGAGUAAUGCGUGACCGACCUGCCCCAUGCUCCGGAAUAGCUCCUGGAAACGGGUGGUAAUGCCGGAUGGUCCAGCAUGCUGCGUGGCGUGUUGGGAAAGAUUUAUCGGCGUGGGAUGGGGUCGCGUCCUAUCAGCUUGACGGUGGGGUGAUGGCCUACCGUGGCUUCGACGGGUAGCCGGCCUGAGAGGGCGACCGGCCACAUUGGGACUGAGAUACGGCCCAGACUCCUACGGGAGGCAGCAGUGGGGAAUAUUGCACAAUGGGCGCAAGCCUGAUGCAGCGACGCCGCGUGAGGGAUGGAGGCCUUCGGGUUGUAAACCUCUUUUAGCAGGGAGCAAGGCUUCGGUUGAGUGUACCUGUGAAUAAG
RNAcentral lists this ribosomal RNA (451 nucleotides) under Bifidobacterium scardovii. Its description in RNAcentral is "bacterial SSU rRNA". It matches the Rfam family "Bacterial small subunit ribosomal RNA", at positions 28 to 490 of the family's 1533-position model. Lineage: Bacteria; Bacillati; Actinomycetota; Actinomycetes; Bifidobacteriales; Bifidobacteriaceae. The record is from RNAcentral.